UCCGGUUGAUCCUGCCGGACCAGACUGCUAUUGGAGUUCGACUAAGCCAUGCAAGUUUUCCGCAAGGAAGCGAAAGGCUGAGUAACACGUAGGUAACCUGCCUUUAGGUGGGGCACACCCUUGGGAAACUGAGGUUAAUUCCCCAUAGAUUUAAGAUACUGGAAUGUUCUUAAGUUAAAAGUUUCGACGCCUAAAGAUGGGCCUGCGAUCUAUCAGGUUGUUGGUAGUGUAAAGGACUACCAAGCCUUUGACGGAUAGGGGCAGUGAGAGCUGGAGCCCCCAGAUGGGAACUGAGACACGGUCCCAAGCCCUACGGGGUGCAGCAGGCGCGAAACCUCCGCAAUGCACGCAAGUGUGACGGGGGAACUCCAAGUGUUUCUGAUUUUAAUCAGUUUCUUUUCUGAAGUGUAAAUAGCUUCAGGAAUAAGGGCUGGGAAAGACAGGUGCCAGCAGCCGCGGUAAUACCUGCAGCUCGAGUGGUCUGGAUUUUUAUUGGGUCUAAAGCGUUCGUAGCAGGGCGCAUAAGUUUUCUGUGAAAUCUGAUAGCUUAACUAUCAGGCGUGCAGAGGAUACUAUGUGCCUUGGAACUGGGAUGGGUCGAGGGUACUUCAGGGGUAAGGGUGAAAUCUAAUAAUCCUUGAGGGACCACCUGUGGCGAAGGCGCUCGGCUAGAACAGAUUCGACUGUGAGGGACGAAAGCUAGGGGAGCGAACGGGAUUAGAUACCCCGGUAGUCCUAGCCGUAAAUGAUGUAGAUUAGGUGUUGCACUCUUUUCGUAAGAUUGCAGUGCCGAAGGGAAGCCGUUAAAUCUACCACCUGGGAAGUACGGUCGCAAGGCUGAAACUUAAAGGAAUUGACGGGGGAGCACUACAAGAGGUGGAGUCUGCGGUUUAAUUGGAUUCAACGCCGGAAAUCUUACCAGGGGCGACAGCAUAAUGAAGGUCAGGUUGACGAUCUUACUCGAAUCGCUGAGAGGUGGUGCAUGGCCGCCGUCAGUUCGUGCCGUGAGGUGUUCUGUUAAGUCAGAUAACGAACGAGACCCAUGUUGUCAGUUGCUAAUUUUUUCUCCGGAAGGAAUGCACUCUGACGAGACCGCUGUCGAUUAGACAGAGGAAGGAGUGGGCAACGGUAGGUCAGUAUGCCCCGAAUCCCCUGGGCUACACGCGUACUACAAUGGCUGGAACAAUGAGUUGCGACGCUGAAAAGCGGAGCUAAUCUCCAAAUCCAGUCUUAGUUCAGAUCGAGGAUUGCAACUCAUCCUCGUGAAGCCGGAAUCUCUAGUAAUCGGGUAUCACUAAUGCCCGGUGAAUAUGUCCCUGCUCCUUGCACACACCGCCCGUC
This 1341-nucleotide ribosomal RNA is filed under the name uncultured archaeon. RNAcentral describes it as "bacterial SSU rRNA". It matches the Rfam family "Archaeal small subunit ribosomal RNA". The record is from RNAcentral.